CCAGACUCCUACGGGAGGCAGCAGUGAGGAAUAUUGGUCAAUGGGCGGAAGCCUGAACCAGCCAAGUCGCGUGAGGGAAUAAGGCCCUACGGGUCGUAAACCUCUUUUGCCGGGGAGCAAGGGCCGGGACGAGUCCCGGUCCGGAGAGUACCCGGAGAAAAAGCAUCGGCUAACUCCGUGCCAGCAGCCGCGGUAAUACGGAGGAUGCGAGCGUUAUCCGGAUUUAUUGGGUUUAAAGGGUGCGUAGGCGGGCUUUUAAGUCAGCGGUAAAAAUUCGGGGCUCAACCCCGUCCGGCCGUUGAAACUGCCGUUCUUGAGUGAGCGAGAAGUAUGCGGAAUGCGUGGUGUAGCGGUGAAAUGCAUAGAUAUCACGCAGAACUCCGAUUGCGAAGGCAGCAUACCGGCGCUCAACUGACGCUGAAGCACGAAGGCGUGGGUAUCGAACAGGAUUAGAUACCCCAGUA
Molecule: ribosomal RNA, 464 nt
Filed under: uncultured bacterium
Lineage: Bacteria
Description: bacterial SSU rRNA
Rfam family: Bacterial small subunit ribosomal RNA
Source: RNAcentral